This 971-nucleotide ribosomal RNA is filed under the name Raffaelea sp. AC-2016. RNAcentral's name for it is "SSU rRNA". It matches the Rfam family "Eukaryotic small subunit ribosomal RNA", at positions 102 to 1083 of the family's 1831-position model. Lineage: Eukaryota; Fungi; Ascomycota; Sordariomycetes; Ophiostomatales; Ophiostomataceae. The record is from RNAcentral.
UAAAUCAGUUAUCGUUUAUUUGAUAGUACCUUACUACUUGGAUAACCGUGGUAAUUCUAGAGCUAAUACAUGCUGCAAAGCCCGACUUCGGAAGGGUUGUAUUUAUUAGAUUAAAAACCAAUGCCCUCCGGGGCUCACUGGUGAUUCAUGAUAACUUCUCGAAUCGCACGGCCUUGCGCCGGCGAUGGUUCAUUCAAAUUUCUGCCCUAUCAACUUUCGACGGCUGGGUCUUGGCCAGCCGUGGUGACAACGGGUAACGGAGGGUUAGGGCUCGACCCCGGAGAAGGAGCCUGAGAAACGGCUACUACAUCCAAGGAAGGCAGCAGGCGCGCAAAUUACCCAAUCCCGACACGGGGAGGUAGUGACAAUAAAUACUGAUACAGGGCUCUUUUGGGUCUUGUAAUUGGAAUGAGUACAAUUUAAUUCCCUUAACGAGGAACAAUUGGAGGGCAAGUCUGGUGCCAGCAGCCGCGGUAAUUCCAGCUCCAAUAGCGUAUAUUAAAGUUGUUGCAGUUAAAAAGCUCGUAGUUGAACCUUGGGCCUGGCUGGCCGGUCCGCCUCACCGCGUGCACUGGUCCGGCCGGGCCUUUCCCUCUGGGGAGCCGCAUGCCCUUCACUGGGCGUGCCGGGGAACCAGGACGUUUACUUUGAAAAAAUUAGAGUGUUCAAAGCAGGCUUAUGCUCGGAUACAUUAGCAUGGAAUAAUGGAAUAGGACGCGUGGUUCUAUUUUGUUGGUUUCUAGGACCGCCGUAAUGAUUAAUAGGGACAGUCGGGGGCAUCAGUAUUCAGCUGUCAGAGGUGAAAUUCUUGGAUUUGCUGAAGACUAACUACUGCGAAAGCAUUUGCCAAGGAUGUUUUCAUUAAUCAGGAACGAAAGUUAGGGGAUCGAAGACGAUCAGAUACCGUCGUAGUCUUAACCAUAAACUAUGCCGACUAGGGAUCGGACGGUGUUAUUCUUUGACCCGUUCGG